RNAcentral lists this ribosomal RNA (201 nucleotides) under Vannella robusta. RNAcentral's name for it is "Vannella sp. CB-2014 partial Bacterial large subunit ribosomal RNA". It matches the Rfam family "Bacterial large subunit ribosomal RNA", at positions 689 to 890 of the family's 2925-position model. The record is from RNAcentral. Lineage: Eukaryota; Discosea; Flabellinia; Vannellidae.
AGGGCGUUUGUCAGUGUUUAUAGACCCGAACCCGGGUGAUCUAACCAUGGCCAGGAUGAAGCUUGGGUGAUACCAAGUGGAGGUCCGAACCGACUGAUGUUGAAAAAUCAGCGGAUGAGCUGUGGUUAGGGGUGAAAUGCCAAUCGAACCCGGAGCUAGCUGGUUCUCCCCGAAAUACGUUGAGGCGUAGCGUCUCGUGCU